Molecule: transfer RNA, 77 nt
Filed under: Cytophagales bacterium
Lineage: Bacteria; Pseudomonadati; Bacteroidota; Cytophagia; Cytophagales
Description: tRNA-Arg
Rfam family: tRNA
About the family: Transfer RNA (tRNA) molecules are approximately 80 nucleotides in length.
Source: RNAcentral
GGUCUCGUAGCUCAACUGGAUAGAGCAGCUGCCUUCUAAGCAGCAGGUUGCUGGUUCGAGUCCAGCCGGGAUCACAA